This is a non-coding RNA of Chlamydoabsidia padenii, 73 nucleotides long. Lineage: Eukaryota; Fungi; Mucoromycota; Mucoromycetes; Mucorales; Cunninghamellaceae. The record is from the annotation of a GenBank genome assembly.
GGGGUGAUAGCACAAUUGGUAGUGCGUCAGAUUCCAGAUCUGAAGGUUUAGUGUUCGAGUCACUAUCGCCUCA